This 1979-nucleotide long non-coding RNA is filed under the name Homo sapiens (human). Its description in RNAcentral is "HSALNT0341686". Lineage: Eukaryota; Metazoa; Chordata; Mammalia; Primates; Hominidae. The record is from RNAcentral.
CUGAGUCAUGCGGGUUGUCAGGGAAGUGGGGGAAAGCCAGCAGUCACAGGCCUCACCCAGCUCCCACGCAAUCCAAAGGGCUGGUCUCACUCCCACAGUGCCUCCCCUAACAGCACCAAAUCUGUUUCCAGGCAGUGGGCAAGCAGGGCUGAGAAUUGCCCCAGACUACCCACCUCCCAGCUGCAAAGGAAAAGGGCUCAGUUCUUCCCCCACCUGUGGAGUCUGCAUGCUGGAUUCCCGUUCUCCCCAGAGUUCUGGCCAGGAGGCUUCUUGCCUGGUUCAAAUUGUUAUGAAGUUCAGCUGGAGACUUCCUUCUCCCUGUGGCAUUUUCCCCACACCUCUAGCUGCCCUCCUGAAGGAUCCUGGUGGUGCCAGGUCUAUGCACUGAAAAUAUGCCUGUGAAGAAAGCAAUAUUUCUGUCUCCAUGGACCUUACUAUCAAACUGGAAGAGACCAAAGAUUAAUAUACAAAUAGGUGAUAAUAGAAAGUCUGAUAUGGAUUGGUGCAAUGAAGAAAAAUAAGGUAAGUUAAGGAGAUAGAAAGUGGUGGGUGUUGUUUUAGAUAAGCUCAUCAGGGAAGGUGAUAUUAAGCAGGGAUUUGAAUGCAGAGGAGGAGAAAGUCAUUUGGAUUCUUGGGCUAAGAACAGACUAGGCAAAUGUAACAGACAGUGCAAAGAUCCUGAUGAGAGAGGGCUUGACAUGUUCAAGGAAUGACAAGAGGACUGGGAGGUAGAAGGAAGUGUGAGAUCAUAUAGGGCUUCAAGAGAGAGUCUGGAUUUUAUUCCAAGUGUGAUGGAAGCCACUGGAUGGUUUCAAGCAGAGAAAUGGUAUUUUAAAAGGCCAAACACGGCUGCUGUGUGCAAAAUAGAUUGCAGGUGGAAUCAAGAACAGCAGUCUGGAGGCCAUUGUGGUAGCUCGGGCAAGACAUGAUGGUAGCUUGGAUGUGGGUGAUCGUGAUGGAGGUAGUGAGAAGGGGUUGGAUUCAGGAUAUCUUUUUGAAGAUAGACUAGAGUGGACCUGCUGAUGGAUUGAAUGUGGGGUGUGAGGAAAGACAGCAGUCAAGGAGGACCCGGAGUUUUGUAUUUGUUCACUAGAAAACACCAGUCUGGGCAACAUAGCAAGACCCUAUCGCUACAAAAAAUAAAUUAGCUGGGUGCGGUGGUGGGUGUCUGUAGUCCCAGCUACUUGGGAGGUUGAGGUGGGAGGAUCACAUGAGUCCAGGAGAUCAAGGGUGCAGUGAGCCAUGAUCAUGCCACUGCACUCUAGCCUGAGCAACACAGUAAGAGCUUGUCUCAAAAAAAAAAAAAAAAAAAAGAAAAAAGAAACUACUAAUUUUUAUACAGGCUUGUGCAAGGCACUGGAGAAGUAAAGAAGAACAAGACACAGUUAGUGCCUUCAGGGAACUCAUGGUACUAUUUCAAAUUUCUAGACUUCUAGAGGGAAGUACAGAGUGCUGUGGAGUGGGUGGGAAGAGAACAGAUUGUUCUGUAUAUGGGCCUUAGGGAAAGUGUGAGUUUGAGUUUGAAGGGAGAAUAAGAGUCUGCUAGAUGCAGAGAGUAGGGAAGAGUAUCCCAGAAAGUGGGGUCAACAAGGGCCGAGCUCAGUGGGCUGCUGUGGGAAGGGGGAGGGGUGCAUGGGAUGGUGGUGGAAGAGGUGGAAGCUCAGAAGGCAAUUUGUGGAGAACCCUGUGUGCCAACCAAGGAGUGGGACCCUCACCCUGUAGACAAUGGGCUGCCAGUGAGAUUUUUUAAGCAGGAGAGUGAUGCUCAAUCCCUCCGUCUUACCUAAACAGAUGAGUCAACCCAGAAUACCAACAAAUAAACUACAUGUGGAUUACAACUUAUUGUGGUGUUUUAGGUUCUUUUAUCAGCAAAUUUCUAUAUUAUUUGUAUUGACAAGUAGAAGCACGCUCACUCUUAGGGUGAAGAAAUUCUACUAAUUUUGUGGCUAAUGAAUAUCGAACAUCUACUUUGUGCCAGG